UUUAUUAUUUUUUAUAAAAUUAAUGAGUUUUUAAAGCUUUAACAAUUAAUUUACAUAGUACACAGUAACUACUAAAUUUAACCUAGUCUAUAAAAUUACAGUAUAAAAAAUUCGAGUUAUUGUCAGGGGGUUAAAUUAGUGCCAGCAGCUGCGGUUAGACUAAACUCUUUUUGUGUUGUAGGGAGUGUUUAUUAUAUCUUAGAAAAAACGAAGUGGUAGAAAAUAAAAAAAUUUAUAUAGUGAUAUUUAAACCAUAAAACAAAAAAAAUAAAAUAGGAUUAGAUACCCUAGUAUUUUGUUUAUUAGUCCUUAUCAUUAAAAUUAAAAUAAGAAUAUUUGGCGGCUUUAAGUUAUUAGAGGGGCUUGUCAAUAAACGAUAACCCGCGUUUAUUCCCACUUAAUUGAAUUUUGUAUACCUUCGUAUAGAUUAUCUUUUAUGGUUAAUAAUUUUUAAAAACAGAUCAAGGUGCAGAUAUUUUUAAGUUAGAUUAGCCACAAUACUCACUAGUAUAACGAAAAAUAAACUAUCAGGUGGAUUUAAUUUUAAUUACUAUACUUAUGACUAUAGGUCUUAAAGUGUUCAGAUCGCCCGUCACUCUCUAUGAGAUAAGUCGAAACAAAGUAAGCUUACUGGAAAGUAAGCCUA
RNAcentral lists this ribosomal RNA (646 nucleotides) under Hyalella tiwanaku. RNAcentral's name for it is "12S ribosomal RNA". The record is from RNAcentral. Lineage: Eukaryota; Metazoa; Arthropoda; Malacostraca; Amphipoda; Hyalellidae.